GAUGAACGCUGGCGGCGUGCCUAAUACAUGCAAGUCGAGCGAACGGACGAGAAGCUUGCUUCUCUGAUGUUAGCGGCGGACGGGUGAGUAACACGUGGAUAACCUACCUAUAAGACUGGGAUAACUUCGGGAAACCGGAGCUAAUACCGGAUAAUAUUUUGAACCGCAUGGUUCAAAAGUAAAAGACGGUCUUGCUGUCACUUAUAGAUGGAUCCGCGCUGCAUUAGCUAGUUGGUAAGGUAACGGCUUACCAAGGCAACGAUGCAUAGCCGACCUGAGAGGGUGAUCGGCCACACUGGAACUGAGACACGGUCCAGACUCCUACGGGAGGCAGCAGUAGGGAAUCUUCCGCAAUGGGCGAAAGCCUGACGGAGCAACGCCGCGUGAGUGAUGAAGGUCUUCGGAUCGUAAAACUCUGUUAUUAGGGAAGAAUAUAUGUGUAAGUAACUGUGCACAUCUUGACGGUACCUAAUCAGAAAGCCACGGCUAACUACGUGCCAGCAGCCGCGGUAAUACGUAGGUGGCAAGCGUUAUCCGGAAUUAUUGGGCGUAAAGCGCGCGUAGGCGGUUUUUUAAGUCUGAUGUGAAAGCCCACGGCUCAACCGUGGAGGGUCAUUGGAAACUGGAAAACUUGAGUGCAGAAGAGGAAAGUGGAAUUCCAUGUGUAGCGGUGAAAUGCGCAGAGAUAUGGAGGAACACCAGUGGCGAAGGCGACUUUCUGGUCUGUAACUGACGCUGAUGUGCGAAAGCGUGGGGAUCAAACAGGAUUAGAUACCCUGGUAGUCCACGCCGUAAACGAUGAGUGCUAAGUGUUAGGGGGUUUCCGCCCCUUAGUGCUGCAGCUAACGCAUUAAGCACUCCGCCUGGGGAGUACGACCGCAAGGUUGAAACUCAAAGGAAUUGACGGGGACCCGCACAAGCGGCGGAGCAUGUGGUUUAAUUCGAAGCAACGCGAAGAACCUUACCAAAUCUUGACAUCCUUUGACAACUCUAGAGAUAGAGCCUUCCCCUUCGGGGGACAAAGUGACAGGUGGUGCAUGGUUGUCGUCAGCUCGUGUCGUGAGAUGUUGGGUUAAGUCCCGCAACGAGCGCAACCCUUAAGCUUAGUUGCCAUCAUUAAGUUGGGCACUCUAAGUUGACUGCCGGUGACAAACCGGAGGAAGGUGGGGAUGACGUCAAAUCAUCAUGCCCCUUAUGAUUUGGGCUACACACGUGCUACAAUGGACAAUACAAAGGGCAGCGAAACCGCGAGGUCAAGCAAAUCCCAUAAAGUUGUUCUCAGUUCGGAUUGUAGUCUGCAACUCGACUACAUGAAGCUGGAAUCGCUAGUAAUCGUAGAUCAGCAUGCUACGGUGAAUACGUUCCCGGGUCU
This 1372-nucleotide ribosomal RNA is filed under the name uncultured bacterium. RNAcentral describes it as "bacterial SSU rRNA". It matches the Rfam family "Bacterial small subunit ribosomal RNA", at positions 28 to 1381 of the family's 1533-position model. The record is from RNAcentral.